Homalodisca vitripennis (glassy-winged sharpshooter) is the source of this 620-nucleotide long non-coding RNA. RefSeq lists it as uncharacterized. The transcript is spliced from 3 exons. Lineage: Eukaryota; Metazoa; Arthropoda; Insecta; Hemiptera; Cicadellidae. The record is from RefSeq and is a predicted model, not a curated record.
UAACAUAUUUACAUCCAAAAUAAAAUGUGAUUAACGGCAGUAAAUGGGUUUAAAAUAAUUAUUAACUACACAAACACGCGCAAGCUGUGUAUAUAAAGCAUUAAAAAUCUAAACGUUCAUUCUCCAACUGCACUCCUUGUCUCUAGCUCGCCGAUCUUACCUGUUGCUCCACUUCAGCAAUUCAAACUAUAGCUACGUGAAGUAAAAAUGAAGAUAUUCUGUUGGUACUUUACCUUCGCUCUCGUGGUUUUGACACCAGCACUGGGAUCGCCGCCGUUGUUGGCACAACCAGACCAGAAAGUUCCGUCUAUUGUGGAUGCAGACACGAUCAUCGAUACCCCAAUACGCUCCUGCCCUGUAGGACAAAACUUUGACAUUUUUAACAAAUGCAGGGAGGAAUUUCCCGAGAAACCUAUGGAAAUCCUGUGAAUAAACCUAAGAAUCAUAGCUGAACUGCUGAGGAAUGCUGAUGAGAAAUCCCACGUCAGCGCUGAACCGCUUACUACCCGCCACCGUGCUGAUUCCUGACAUCGGAUUCUACAAUACCACUCCAAUCAUCCUAUUGACUAUAUUUACUGUAAUAAACUACACCUAACAAUAAAUCAAUUUUAUCUUUUGAA